This 466-nucleotide ribosomal RNA is filed under the name uncultured bacterium. Its description in RNAcentral is "partial 16S ribosomal RNA". It matches the Rfam family "Bacterial small subunit ribosomal RNA", at positions 28 to 507 of the family's 1533-position model. The record is from RNAcentral.
GACGAACGCUGGCGGCGUGCUUAACACAUGCAAGUCGAACGGAAAGGCCCUGCUUGCAGGGUACUCGAGUGGCGAACGGGUGAGUAACACGUGGGUGAUCUGCCCUGCACUUCGGGAUAAGCUUGGGAAACUGGGUCUAAUACCGGAUAGGAACCAUCUUUAGUGUGGUGGUUGGAAAGUUUUUUCGGUGUAGGAUGAGCUCGCGGCCUAUCAGCUUGUUGGUGGGGUAAUGGCCUACCAAGGCGGCGACGGGUAGCCGGCCUGAGAGGGUGUACGGCCACAUUGGGACUGAGAUACGGCCCAGACUCCUACGGGAGGCAGCAGGGGGGAAUAUUGCACAAUGGGCGCAAGCCUGAUGCAGCGACGCCGCGUGGGGGAUGAAGGCCUUCGGGUUGUAAACUCCUUUCGCUAGGGACGAAGCGUUGUUGUGACGGUACCUAGAGAAGAAGCACCGGCUAACUACGUG